UUGAGAUUGACACAGUAUAUAGGUAGUAGGUAUGUUAUAAUACUUAUAUUGAAACACGGUACAGUGUGUAACCUAAAAUAUAAGUGUAUAUAAAUUGAUGAUAUAUUUGUGAAGUUUACAUUCGAAACCAUUCAAUACUAGUUGCAGCAAAGGUAGUCGAACACGCGAGAGAAAACCUUAAGAUCCUUCCUUCCUAAGGUUAUUGUCUUGCUUGCUCGUGAACUCACGAGUACAGUCAACCAACAUUUAAAUAGAUCGUUGUAUUAUAAUGUGAAUCCCUUUGGUCUACCACAUUUAGGGUCUACUUUAUCAGUUGAUCGAUCUCUAGCAUAUUUGUGACUAGACCAAGUCUUUCGGAACACCAACUAAUAGCAAGACUGAUUUUAUAUUGUUUAGUACGCUAAAUAGCGUACUAAACAAUAUAAAAUUAGUCUACUCUACAUAUUAUGAAUUUAGUAAGUCGUACGGAGUACCUACUAAUUCCAUGGUACAUAUCUAGUUUUGGGCUACUCCAAAAAACAGAUUUCUACUUCUAGAUUACAGAAAUUAUUAUGAGAAUCCUGUGAAGCUGUAUUGUCUUUACCCCAAGGUCCCUAGUAAUGUUUUCCAAUAAAUAAAUGGACAACACUCAACGGCCCAUACUAAACUUGUUUCGCGGGUACGAUUACAUACAUACGAUACAAACAGAGAGACGAUCAUUACACACCCCGAACAGCAAAAAAUUAUUUUAGUUGUAAUCACAAGAUAAUAAUUGUGUCGCGUCGCGUGCAUUCCAAGAUCUAUUAGAGAAACACUUGCUCAACGGACUAUACCUACAUCAAGAAAAAGGUUCGCUACCUUGCCAUCAGCAUCUUUUGAUGUCAAGUAAGAAAAAUCAAAAUUAUUAUAACACGACAUUUAAGACAAAAAUCAAAAACUACAUCAUGUAAAUAAUGACGAUCUGCAUUUCAUAUGUAAUGAAAUAAAUGAAAAAAGGAAAAAUUAAAAUGAUAAAAUCCUAACUAAAUAUAUGUGUUAUUUACCACCGUCGUAGCCCGCAUUUCAUCGGCAAGAUUUGGAGAAAACGUUGUACAGUGAUGUUUUAUCCUAGUGGGACAAAAAAGAGAAAUAGAAAGAAUAACAAAAUCAACAAUGACAUUAUAAAACACAUUCCAUUGCAUAAUACGGCAACGAAACAAGGCCGCCAUAUUAAAUAUAAUGAAAGGGUGAAAAAAUCAACACCGAUUGGCCCUGAUUUCUGCUCUACAAAAACAAUGUGCAGGAAUAUCAGGUACAGUAAGAAAAUUUUUAUGGCGACUAAAAUGAUACCCCAGACGAACUUAGAAAGUUUAAAUACAAAAUUCAUUGCAGACGUUUUCCUUAACGUUGAUCAACCCGCAGAUCCUGUAAUGUUAUUUUGUAUGAAUAUGAAUAUGGUGCAAAGCCAGGACAUCACUAUCAUAUCCAUUAAAGGUUUGUCAUGCGAGAAUAUGUUUACUAAAAUACAUAAAGACUCAGAUUUGAUUAUUUACAACUUGCUAUUUAAAAAAACAUCUACAAAUGCAGCUAUUAAAGACAAAAGAUGUCAUGUGAAUAUCAACUUACUACUCCCAUAUAUACGAGCUAUUUGUGAUUCUAUGAAACAGUCGAAACACCAAAAACAUAUAAGAGCAAUAACUCAACAGCAAGUUUCAAUUCAGACCAAAGUUCAAACUAAAAUUCUAUUCGUCGAGAAUGAAUCAAGCACAAUCACAUUAAAUAAUAAAAUAACGACUAAGCAAAUUAAGUGGAACUCAUUUGGUUUAGAAAAUAAAUUUAUUAACCCUAAUAUAUGGGAAAACCAAUUAAGAAGACAUCUUCAUAUUUUCAGCAAAAUGCUUACAGAAUUCAUCAACAUGUAUUUUACUUUAAAGAACGAGUCCUCAACUAAUAACACAGUAGUUCCUUUACUCUGCUUCCACAAUUGGCACAUCAAGAAUUUAACUCAAGGCCAUAUGUUGAAAUGUCUUCUAAAAAACAGUCAAGUUAGCGCCCUUAAUAUUAUGAGAAAUUUGUAUUUCAUAAUAAUUACAAACUGUACAUCCUGCUCAAAAAUAGACAUUCACUUCAGGUUGCAAGAUGGUAUAAUUAUGGUUUUCAAUCAGAACGAAUCAGGAAGUAGAUUUAGACAACAAGUAAUAAUAAACAAAGAGCCUAAAGAUGCUUUGCCCAUCACAUCGUGUUCAGGCGAAUUCACCAAUCAAGAAAAUAUAUGGAACACACAAAGCGAAAGUGACAGAGAGAGUGGUUGUUGUAGUUACAGCUCCUCUUUAUAUUCAUUACCAGAUUACCCAUCGCAAAGUACCCUUUUUAUCGAAGAAGAAAUAAAAUCUUGGCAUCAUUUAGCAGAGGAAACCCCGGAAUAUGGAAUAAAAAAGGAUAGUUUCGCGACCCCUGAAGCAAAAAAAAACGAAAUCUUUAUAAACUUCUGGAAUAACAUGUAUCAGCUAACAGAAGUUUUGCAUAAAUUGAAACGCAAUGCAAGUGACAUAGUACAAUCCUACACUGCAGAUGUAUUUAGUAAAUACGACGUAUUCAAUGAAAACUUAUUCGAUACUGGAACAACUUUUGAUUUGUUGUUUAAGAAGGAGGCAGGAAACGUCGGGUCUAGGUUCCUUUUAACUCUGGGGAAGUCGUUGGCGUAUACUAUGUUUAGUUAUGUGUUGUAGAAAAAUAUACUUCAAUAAAAUAUAAUUUCUUUAAAA
Plodia interpunctella (Indianmeal moth) is the source of this 2723-nucleotide long non-coding RNA. RefSeq lists it as uncharacterized. The record is from RefSeq and is a predicted model, not a curated record. The transcript is spliced from 2 exons. Lineage: Eukaryota; Metazoa; Arthropoda; Insecta; Lepidoptera; Pyralidae.